UACACAGCCCUGGGCUGGCAGUCACGGUGGAACGCAGGCAGUGCAUACCCACAGGACACACACAGCCCCAGACCAAGUGGCCACGAGCUCCUGUGUGCUGGACAGUUCCUUUCCUGUGGCUGCUGUAACAAAUGACCACAAAUGCGGCAGCAUGACACAACAGGAACUUAUUCUCUUCCAGUUCCGGAGGUCAGAAGUCUGAAAUGGAGGGGUUGGCAGGGCCGGGCUGUUCCUGCAGACGAAGCAAGAUGAGGAGAGGCAGUGUUUCAUCUUCAGCCUGGGUCGUGCAAGCCAAGGGUGUCUGUAAUGUCCCCUGGUGGUGGUUCCAGGAUGAAACAGCACACCCAAGAGAGUACCUUCAAGUGGAGGCCAGAUGCAAGACAGACCUGGAGUCCCAAACAUACCAAAGGCUCUUGAGCACAGGUGCCUCAGAACACAACAUUUAAGAAAACUGCAGGCCUGGACUGUGGGUGAAGACAGCAGAGGACAGAAUUAAUGCCCCCUAAACCGACACUGUUUCCUGCCUUCUUUCCCACUGCUUCUUCUAGUAGCUUCUUAUCCCAUUGUUGCCAAACUUGAUAUGUGCAUGCUAAGUCGCUUUAUUUAUGUCCAACUCUUUGUGACCCCAUGGACUGUAGUCCACCAGGCUCCUCUGUCCAUGGGACUGUCCAGGCAAGAAUACUGGAGUUGGUUACCAUGCCCUUCUCCAGGGGAUCCUCCUGACCCAGGAAUCGAACCCAUGUCUCUUCUGUCUCCUGCGGGUUGACAGGUGGGUUCUUUACCACUAGCACUAUCUGGGAAGCCUGCCUAGCUCCAUAUCAACACACUAGUCUGUAAAUUCAUGGUGGACGCUGGGAUCCCCCAAAGGAAAUGAAGAUCCCCAUUCAGAAACGAAGCACAUGUUACCUCAGAGUGACCCUCACAGAUAAGCCUCAGCCACAGUCAAGAAGAGCCUCUCUGAGGAGAGCCACCCUGAGCAAGGUCACAUCCUCGCAUCAGGCAGCCCAUGUCUAAGGACUGAUCGUCACAGGAGGAUAAAGGGCAAGCCCUCUCACUCCCCCUCCCACUUCAAAUCAGCUCUGGAGCUUGGUCCCAGCUGCAGCCAGAGGCAGCUCAAGGCUUCCACGGAAAUAUCAGCAGAUCCUGCUACCCUUUGUCUCAUUCCAUCCUGCUCCACAUCAAAGGACUCUCCUAUCAGCAUAGUUCUGCAGUCUCAGAACUGGGAUUGGAAUAGUCCAUCCAAAGCUCUGGGCGAAGCCAAAACUGCAACACAGAAGCUUAGAGCAGAAGUCAGUUCAAGGGGAUACCGAACACAAGAACUGGCCUGGAUGCUGCUUGUGGAGCUCUGCAGAUCCAAGAGCCCAGGAGGGGGUGAGGAGGAAGAGAGAGAGACGCCACUCAGAGUGUAUUGCACUGCUCAGAUUGCUCUUCUGGAAAAUUUAGCCCUAAGAAAGCCACCAGCUUUCCAGCUGUAAAUCAAUUUCAGUUAUUCCUCUCUUCCCUGACUCAAUUCCUCUCUCCUCCUCUCUUUCUCUUCUUCCCUCCCUCCCUUCUCACCUUUCUUAUCUUUCUUCCCAUUCUUCUAACUUAAUUUUUUCCAAUGAUUAAAAAAGAAAACCUAUUUAUUAUAAGCAUUUUAGAAUGCAAAGUAUUAAUAUGGAAAGAAAACUAUCACUCAGAGAUAAUCACUAGUAAGUAACAUUCUUUAAAAAUUUUUUUUUCACAGAGACCGUUUUUAAAACCUUUAUUGAAUUUGUCACAAUGUUGCUUCUGUUCUAUGAUUUGUGUUUUUGGCCUCGAGGCAUGUGGGAUCUUAGCUCCCCCACCAGGGAUUGAACCUGUAUCCCCUGCAUUGGAAGACAAAGCCUUAACCACUAGGCUGUCAGGAAAUUCCCAUCACUAGUGACAUUCUGAUAGCUCCUUUUGGCCUUACUAAUGUACAAUUUUUAAAAAUCAUAGAUGAGAACAUACUUGAGGUAGACUCUUGCAGUGAAGUCCUCCCAUUGGUGCAUGCUUCCUUCUAUCCAAGCCCUUGACUGAUGCCCUCCCACGCUGACUUUGAGCUUGGUCAUCCUGACUAGCUUUGGCUAACAUUGAUAUAAAGGCCUGGAUCUAAGUCCUUUCCCCCAGUACAUACACACACACACACACACACACACACACACACACACACACAUAUGUAAAUAUGACAAGUAUACCCCAAAUAUUUAUCUAUUCUCAUUCUGAUAUCACACAUUAUCACAGUUUCACAGUGUAUUUUCUACAUCAGAGAGAAUGUCUCUAGUAUUACUCUUAUUUUUUGUAGAUUUCUCAGCACUUACGAUGUUGAUUCUUUUUUUUUUUUUUUUUUUUUACGAUGUUGAUUCUUUCAAGUAACCGUGUGUUGGACACUUGCCAUGUUUUGGAGCUGCUUCUUUAGAGCAUCUUUGCUUUACAAACUCUGCCUUUUCCCCAUCUCCCAAGAGAGAAGCCAGGAAAUGUGAUUUCCCUGCCUCCCUUGCAGCUAAGGAAUAGCUAUGUGACCAAGGCUCCAGGAAUCCCACCCAAUCGAAUGAAAUUUUAGAAAUAAAACAACAUGAGAAAGUG
Molecule: long non-coding RNA, 2586 nt
Organism: Bubalus bubalis (water buffalo)
Lineage: Eukaryota; Metazoa; Chordata; Mammalia; Artiodactyla; Bovidae
Exons: 2
Source: RefSeq, a predicted model, not a curated record